AGAAUUUUGUGGCAAAGAAUUUCAAAGUCAAAGAUGAGAAGAAUGACGUUAGGAUAAAUCAGUAACAAACACUGCGUGACAAGACUACUCUUUUCUCUCUAAGUUUUAGAGAGAGGAAAUCCCCUCGUUUGAUCGGGAGAUUGACAAAAAAAAGUAUAAUAAAAAAUAAAAUGAUACAAAAAAAAGUGAGUUUGAAAGUAAUUACGAAAAAAAGAUAAAUUAUGUUGAGUUGGAUGUAGUGCGUGCGAGACGCUAAUUAUAAUAGUGUUUUUAAGGUCCGGACGUUAUUUAUAAUAGCGUACUCAUCAAAAAUUUUAAAGAAAAGCCAG
This 329-nucleotide unclassified non-coding RNA is filed under the name Hevea brasiliensis (rubber tree). The record is from RNAcentral. Lineage: Eukaryota; Viridiplantae; Streptophyta; Magnoliopsida; Malpighiales; Euphorbiaceae.